GACGAACGCUGGCGGCGUGCUUAACACAUGCAAGUCGAGCGGUAAGGCCCUUCGGGGUACACGAGCGGCGAACGGGUGAGUAACACGUGAGUAAUCUGCCCAUCACUUCGGGAUAACUCCGGGAAACCGGUGCUAAUACCGAAUAUGACCACUUCAGGCAUCUGAUGGUGUGGAAAGUUCCGGCGGUGAUGGAUGAGCUCGCGGCCUAUCAGCUUGUUGGUGGGGUAGUGGCCUACCAAGGCUUCGACGGGUAGCCGGCCUGAGAGGGUGACCGGCCACACUGGGACUGAGACACGGCCCAGACUCCUACGGGAGGCAGCAGUGGGGAAUAUUGGACAAUGGGCGAAAGCCUGAUCCAGCAACGCCGCGUGAGGGAUGACGGCCUUCGGGUUGUAAACCUCUUUCAGCAGGGACGAAGCGCAAGUGACGGUACCUGCAGAAGAAGCACCGGCCAACUACGUG
This 462-nucleotide ribosomal RNA is filed under the name uncultured bacterium. RNAcentral's name for it is "partial 16S ribosomal RNA". It matches the Rfam family "Bacterial small subunit ribosomal RNA", at positions 28 to 507 of the family's 1533-position model. The record is from RNAcentral.